RNAcentral lists this long non-coding RNA (495 nucleotides) under Homo sapiens (human). RNAcentral describes it as "non-protein coding lnc-TIMM21-5:15". Lineage: Eukaryota; Metazoa; Chordata; Mammalia; Primates; Hominidae. The record is from RNAcentral.
GGCCUCUGCGGACGCGACCCACGCAGACCACAGCCGAGCCCGCCGGACCCCGGGACUACGGAAGCCAUCCCGUCCGGCCACCCACACCCGCGCCGCGGCUGGGGCUUGGGUUGGGGACUGUGGCGGCGAAGAAGCCGGGGGAGGGAGUUCUCACAAGAUCUGAUGGUUUAAGCGUGGCAGUUUCCCCUGAGCUCUCCUUCCUGCUGGUAUGUAAGGCGUGCUUUGCUUCCUCUUCACCUUCCGCCAUGAUUGUACAUUUCCUGAGGCCUCCCCAGCCAUGCAGAACUGCAUACAACUUAGGAUUCAUAACUACAUAUAUACGGAUAGAAGUGCAUGAACAGAAAAUCUGCCCUUCUGGAAUACCAAAUGCAAAAUUAAAGUGACUACAAGCAGAAUUUGGAGAAAAAAAUAAAAGAUGCAAUAUAGUUUUUAAAAUCAUUGUUAAAAUAUAAUGAGUCUGUACUUUGCUUAAACAAUAAAAAAGUCUUCGAUUUA